This 1437-nucleotide long non-coding RNA is filed under the name Accipiter nisus (Eurasian sparrowhawk). Its description in RNAcentral is "lncRNA (ENSANIG00000006856.1)". The record is from RNAcentral. Lineage: Eukaryota; Metazoa; Chordata; Aves; Accipitriformes; Accipitridae.
AUGGGAGGGCUGGGCUUUGAGGGGGACCCUGGGCUAGUAAGAAGAAGCCCUGGGCUAGUGACGGGGGGCUCUGGGCCAGCGGGGGGGGCGGGACCUCGUGUGCCCCCUCCACCCCCCGCCAUGCUCAGUGUCACACGCCUGUGCCCCCCCCGCCCCCCCGCUGUGCCCUGUGUCACCCCCCCCGCCACUGUGCCCCACGUCACGCGUGUCCGCCCCCCCCGUACUGUCCCACGUACCAGCCCCGUGGCACAGGUGUGCACACCUGCUCCCCCGUAUACGCGUGUGCGCGCCCACCCAGGCCCCCCCCGCCAGCUUUCCCACGAGUGUCCACCGCACUGUCGCCUUCUGAGCCCCCGUCCGGGGCAGGGGGGUGGUGUCACGCGUGGGGGUCCGGAGCAGGGGGGGGGUCCGGGGGCGGGCGGGGCCGGCGGGGGCGGGCGCUGGUCGGUAUUUUUAGCCGCGCGCUCCCGGGGCGCAGCCGUUGCCCGGGAACGGCGGGAGCGCGGCCAAGGGAACAGCGGGGGGGGGUGUCGGGGGGGGGGGGGGAGACGGGAAAAAAGGGGGGGGGGCGGCUGCUCCGGACCCGGGCCCGGGCUCUGGCGGGAGCGAUCCGGUACGGCCGGACGCUGCGCUCGCCCUGCGCCAUGCGCGCAACACACCGGGGCUGCGCGGCCCGGCGGGAGCGGCGGCCGCGGGGCGAGCGGUGAGUGCGGGGACCGGCGGGGGGGACGGGAACACACAGCCCGGGGGGGCCCUGCUGCCCUCCCACCCCGCCUCCGCGCCCCAUCGCCCCCUGCACCCCCCCACCCCACCCCCCCGCUGCAGCACACGGGGGGUGGCACUGGGGACCCCUCCGCCUCCGCGGGUGGGGGGUGCUGGGGGCACGCGGGGACCCAGCCCCCCGCCCCCCCCCAGCACAGUCACCGGAGGAUGCGGCCCCCCCCGCCCACCUCCGUUCCGCCCCAGGCUGGGACGUCUGCCCCCACGAACCCGGGUGGGAGUGGGGUGCCCCAUGGCGGGAGGGGGGGGAGCACAGCUGGGUGCCACAGGGCCCCCCCCCCAGGCCGGGGGGCGGUGGGGGGGCGCAGGCGGAGGGGGGGGGGGUGUGCCAGGAGCUCUGUGCGUGUGCAAGGCCCAGCGGGGUGUGCAUGCGUGUGUACAUGCAUGCGUGCACGGAUGUGCAUGAGGCCCAGCUCCCUGUGCACGCCUGUGCUGCCAUCGGCCCGGAGCGUGUGCGCAGUGUUGGUGCCCACCCCGUUGCACACCCCAUCUUGGGGCACGAGAGCGUGCAAGGAGCCCCUCGGGGUGCACACGUGGGCCUGCACCUGCCGGGGGCAAAUGUGUGCGUGUCCCUGGGAGUUGGGAGCAUGUGUGCACGCCUGCUCGUGUGCGCGCGCGUGCAAGGUGUGCCCGCUGCGGUGCUGCACAUCUGUGUGA